Acomys russatus (golden spiny mouse) is the source of this 450-nucleotide non-coding RNA. NCBI's taxonomy places the organism in Eukaryota, Metazoa, Chordata, Mammalia, Rodentia, Muridae. The record is from the annotation of a RefSeq genome assembly.
AGCAUGGCUGUCCUGCUGCUGCUCCUCUGCCUGGUGACCUAUCCAAGCUGUGCCCUGUCCCAGGUGCAGCUGAAGGAGUCAGGACCUGACCUGGUGCAGCCCUCACAGACUCUGUCUCUCACCUGCACUGUCUCGGGGUUCUCAUUAACCAGCUAUCAUGUAACCUGGGUCCGCAAGCCUCCAGGAAAGGGUCUGGAGUGGAUGGGUGCUAUGUGGAGUGAUGGGGCCACAGGUUAUAAUUCAGCUCUCAAAUCCAGACUCAGCAUCCGCAGAGACACCUCCAAGAGCCAGGUCUUCUUGACACUGAACAGUCUGCAUACUGAGGACACAGCCAUGUACUACUGUGCCAGAGACACAGUGAGGGAACUUCACUCUGAGCCUGCAAAAAAAAAACUUUCUACAAGGAUGUUCAAACCAGAAGAGGGCGCUAAUGAUAACAUGAAGGGCUAG